Molecule: ribosomal RNA, 464 nt
Filed under: uncultured bacterium
Lineage: Bacteria
Description: bacterial SSU rRNA
Rfam family: Bacterial small subunit ribosomal RNA
Source: RNAcentral
GCCAGACCCUACGGGAGGCAGCAGUGAGGAAUAUUGGUCAAUGGACGAGAGUCUGAACCAGCCAAGUAGCGUGAAGGAUGACUGCCCUAUGGGUUGUAAACUUCUUUUAUAAAGGAAUAAAACGAGGCACGUGUGCCUUUUUGCAUGUACUUUAUGAAUAAGGAUCGGCUAACUCCGUGCCAGCAGCCGCGGUAAUACGGAGGAUCCGAGCGUUAUCCGGAUUUAUUGGGUUUAAAGGGUGCGUAGGCGGAAUGCCAAGUCAGCGGUAAAAUCGCGGGGCUCACCCUCGCUCCGCCGUUGAAACUGGCGUUCUUGAGUGGGCGAGAAGUAUGCGGAAUGCGUGGUGUAGCGGUGAAAUGCGUAGAUAUCAGGAGGAACACCGGCGGCGAAGGCGGCCUGCUGGACCGCGACUGACGUUGAGGCUCGAAAGCGUGGGGAGCAAACAGGAUUAGAUACCCUAGUAC